UGGGGAAUAUUGGACAAUGGGGGCAACCCUGAUCCAGCAAUGCCGCGUGUGUGAAGAAGGCCUUCGGGUUGUAAAGCACUUUUAGCAGGAAAGAAAAGUCGUUCGCUAAUACCGGAAGGCUUUGACGUUACUUGCAGAAAAAGCACCGGCUAACUCCGUGCCAGCAGCCGCGGUAAUACGGAGGGUGCAAGCGUUAAUCGGAAUUACUGGGCGUAAAGCGCGCGUAGGCGGCUUGUUAAGUCGGAUGUGAAAUCCCCGAGCUCAACUUGGGAACUGCAUUCGAUACUGGCUCGCUAGAGUGUGGUAGAGGGAAGUGGAAUUCCAGGUGUAGCGGUGAAAUGCGUAGAUAUCUGGGGGAACAUCAGUGGCGAAGGCGGCUUCCUGGACCAACACUGACGCU
RNAcentral lists this ribosomal RNA (400 nucleotides) under uncultured bacterium. RNAcentral's name for it is "bacterial SSU rRNA". It matches the Rfam family "Bacterial small subunit ribosomal RNA", at positions 355 to 747 of the family's 1533-position model. The record is from RNAcentral.